UUCCGUAGGUGAACCUGCGGAGGGAUCAUUACACAAAUAUGAAGGCGGGCUGGAACCUCUCGGGGUUACAGCCUUGCUGAAUUAUUCACCCUUGUCUUUUGCGUACUUCUUGUUUCCUUGGUGGGUUCGCCCACCACUAGGACAAACAUAAACCUUUUGUAAUUGCAAUCAGCGUCAGUAACAAAUUAAUAAUUACAACUUUCAACAACGGAUCUCUUGGUUCUGGCAUCGAUGAAGAACGCAGCGAAAUGCGAUAAGUAGUGUGAAUUGCAGAAUUCAGUGAAUCAUCGAAUCUUUGAACGCACAUUGCGCCCUUUGGUAUUCCAAAGGGCAUGCCUGUUCGAGCGUCAUUUGUACCCUCAAGCUUUGCUUGGGGUUGGGCGUCUUGUCUCUAGCUUUGCUGGAGACUCGCCUUAAAGUAAUUGGCAGCCGGCCUACUGGUUUCGGAGCGCAGCACAAGUCGCACUCUCUAUCAGCAAAGGUCUAGCAUCCAUUAAGCCUUUUUUUUCAACUUUUGACCUCGGAUCAGGUAGGGAUACCCGCUGAACUUAAGCAUA
RNAcentral lists this ribosomal RNA (557 nucleotides) under uncultured organism. RNAcentral's name for it is "eukaryotic LSU rRNA". The stretch from base 197 to 350 matches the Rfam family "5.8S ribosomal RNA". The record is from RNAcentral.